GAGACCCAGUCUUAUUUUUGGGAAAACAUGGUAUAUCUGUAUAUGGAGCCAUACUUGAUUUCUGUUAUGGAGAUGAUUUUGUAUUUUUUUUUUUCAUGGUUUUCAACAGGUUAGUAAAGAUCUUCAAGUUACAGGUAACCAUAAUAGUAUGAAAUCAUGUUUGACUGUCUGAAAAGUAAAUACUUUGAAAUUUGUUGCCGGGAAGUGCAGUUUAAAAAGUGGAUUCAUACAGCAAGGUGAUUCGGGGACGCAAUGUCUGAAUGUUGUCGGAAGUGGAAUAGUCAUAGUUUUUAUUUCAUAUAACAGGGAUUGUUUAAAUUGAUAAUGAAAACAGGAAUCAAGCGAAAAAGUUUUUCCGAGAAGAACUAUAUUCCGAACGAGAUUCCACUACAAAGAUUAAAUACUAAAAUAGAUGGAAUAGUAUGAUGGUGCUCACGUCGUAACGACAUGCAAACAGUUGUCGCAGUUUCCAUGUUAUUGAUUUUGCUUCUCCAAAACAUCGCGUGCAUAAAACAAUAGAAUGACGUGGAAUUGGCAAGUGUGGUAUUAUGAUUGCUCGAAGAUUUAUUCAGAUUCUACGUACCUCAAUCUUGGAGAGAAGAAAUUAUAUCAUGGUGUCUGCUAUGAUGACAACAAUACGGACUCUAUAUAAUUUUGGUUU
Styela clava is the source of this 661-nucleotide long non-coding RNA. RefSeq lists it as uncharacterized. NCBI's taxonomy places the organism in Eukaryota, Metazoa, Chordata, Ascidiacea, Stolidobranchia, Styelidae. The record is from RefSeq and is a predicted model, not a curated record.